Molecule: ribosomal RNA, 454 nt
Filed under: uncultured bacterium
Lineage: Bacteria
Description: bacterial SSU rRNA
Rfam family: Bacterial small subunit ribosomal RNA
Source: RNAcentral
GACGAACGCUGGCGGCGUGCUUAACACAUGCAAGUCGAACGGGAUUUAGUAAACAGAAGCCUCGGUGGAAGAUUACUAAUGAGAGUGGCGAACGGGUGAGUAACGCGUGAGCAACCUGCCUAUGACAGUGGGAUAGCCUCGGGAAACCGGGAUUAAUACCGCAUAAAAUCGUAGAAACACAUGUUUCAACGGUCAAAGAUUUAUCGGUCAUAGAUGGGCUCGCGUCUGAUUAGCUAGUUGGUGAGAUAACAGCCCACCAAGGCGACGAUCAGUAGCCGGUCUGAGAGGAUGAACGGCCACAUUGGAACUGAGACACGGUCCAAACUCCUACGGGAGGCAGCAGUGGGGAAUAUUGCACAAUGGGGGAAACCCUGAUGCAGCGACGCCGCGUGAACGAAGAAGGUAUUCGUAUCGUAAAGUUCUGUCCUAUGGGAAGAUAAUGACAGUACCAUAG